This 440-nucleotide ribosomal RNA is filed under the name uncultured bacterium. RNAcentral describes it as "partial 16S ribosomal RNA". It matches the Rfam family "Bacterial small subunit ribosomal RNA", at positions 338 to 795 of the family's 1533-position model. The record is from RNAcentral.
CCUACGGGUGGCAGCAGUGGGGAAUAUUGCACAAUGGGGGAAACCCUGAUGCAGCAACGCCGCGUGAGUGAAGAAGGAUUUCGGUUUGGAAAGCUCUAUCAGCAGGGAAGUAGAUGACGGUACCUGAUUAAUACACCCCGGCUAACUACGUUCAAGCAGCCGCGGGAUUACGUAGGGGGCAAGCGUUAGCCGGAGUUACUGGGUGGAAAGGGAGCGCAGACGGCAGUGCAAGUCUGGAGUGAAAGCCCGGGGCCCAACCCCGGAACUGAUCUGGAAACUGUGCGUCUAGAGUACUGGAGGGGCAGGCGGAAUUCCUAGUGUAGCGGUGAAAUGCGUAGAUAUUAGGAGGAACGCCAGUGGCGAAGGCGGCCUGCUGGACAGUAACUGACGUUGAGGCUCGAAAGCGUGGGGAGCAAACAGGAUUAGAUACCCUAGUAGUC